Molecule: ribosomal RNA, 254 nt
Filed under: uncultured bacterium
Lineage: Bacteria
Description: partial 16S ribosomal RNA
Rfam family: Bacterial small subunit ribosomal RNA
Source: RNAcentral
UACGUAGGGUGCAAGCGUUGUCCGGAAUUAUUGGGCGUAAAGAGCUCGUAGGCGGUCUGUCGCGUCGGUCGUGAAAACCUGCAGCUUAACUGUGGGCGUGCGGUCGAUACGGGCAUGACUGGAGUUCGGCAGGGGAGACUGGAAUUCCUGGUGUAGCGGUGAAAUGCGCAGAUAUCAGGAGGAACACCGGUGGCGAAGGCGGGUCUCUGGGCCGAUACUGACGCUGAGGAGCGAAAGCGUGGGGAGCGAACAGG